Bos taurus (domestic cattle) is the source of this 72-nucleotide non-coding RNA. The record is from Rfam. Lineage: Eukaryota; Metazoa; Chordata; Mammalia; Artiodactyla; Bovidae.
UCCCUAGUAGCUCAGCUAGUAAAGAAUUUGCUUGCAAUGCAGGAGACCCUGGUUCAAUUCCUGGGUCGGGAA